UGGGGAAUAUUGGACAAUGGGCGCAAGCCUGAUCCAGCAAUGCCGCGUGUGUGAAGAAGGCCUUCGGGUUGUAAAGCACUUUUAUCAGGAGCGAAACGCUGUCGGCUAAUACCCGGCGGAACUGACGGUACCUGAGGAAUAAGCACCGGCUAACUUCGUGCCAGCAGCCGCGGUAAUACGAAGGGUGCAAGCGUUAAUCGGAAUUACUGGGCGUAAAGCGUGCGUAGGCGGUUUCUUAAGUCUGCUGUGAAAUCCCCGGGCUCAACCUGGGAAUGGCAGUGGAUACUGGGAGGCUAGAGUGUGUCAGAGGGUGGUGGAAUUCCCGGUGUAGCGGUGAAAUGCGUAGAGAUCGGGAGGAACAUCAGUGGCGAAGGCGGCCACCUGGGACAACACUGACGCUGAGGCACGAAAGCGUGGGGAGCAAACAGGAUUAGAUACCCUGGUAGUCCACGCCCUAAAGCGAUGCGAACUGGAUGUUGGUCUCAACUCGGAGAUCAGUGUCGAAGCUAACGCGUUAAGUUCGCCGCCUGGGGAGUACGGUCGCAAGACUGAACUCAAAGGAAUUGACGGGGUCAUAGCUGUUUCCUG
RNAcentral lists this ribosomal RNA (588 nucleotides) under uncultured bacterium. RNAcentral describes it as "partial 16S ribosomal RNA". It matches the Rfam family "Bacterial small subunit ribosomal RNA", at positions 355 to 1376 of the family's 1533-position model. The record is from RNAcentral.